RNAcentral lists this transfer RNA (73 nucleotides) under bacterium. Its description in RNAcentral is "tRNA-Lys". It matches the Rfam family "tRNA". From Rfam's summary of the family: Transfer RNA (tRNA) molecules are approximately 80 nucleotides in length. Their secondary structure includes four short double-helical elements and three loops (D, anti-codon, and T loops). Further hydrogen bonds mediate the characteristic L-shaped molecular structure. tRNAs have two regions of fundamental functional importance: the anti-codon, which is responsible for specific mRNA codon recognition, and the 3' end, to which the tRNAs corresponding amino acid is attached (by aminoacyl-tRNA synthetases). tRNAs cope with the degeneracy of the genetic code in two manners: having more than one tRNA (with a specific anti-codon) for a particular amino acid; and 'wobble' base-pairing, i.e. permitting non-standard base-pairing at the 3rd anti-codon position. The record is from RNAcentral. RNAcentral also lists the same sequence under 3 other names.
GACCGGAUAGCUCAGUUGGUAGAGCAGGAGACUUUUAAUCUUCAGGUCGUGGGUUCGAUCCCCACUCCGGUCA